Molecule: microRNA, 23 nt
Filed under: Drosophila simulans
Lineage: Eukaryota; Metazoa; Arthropoda; Insecta; Diptera; Drosophilidae
Description: dsi-miR-311-5p
Gene: dsi-miR-311-5p
Source: miRBase by way of RNAcentral
CGGACGGUAUAUGAGUCAAUAUU